Molecule: ribosomal RNA, 354 nt
Filed under: Hydaticus cinctipennis
Lineage: Eukaryota; Metazoa; Arthropoda; Insecta; Coleoptera; Dytiscidae
Description: partial 12S ribosomal RNA
Source: RNAcentral
UUUAAAUGUAAAAUUUAAAUACUAAAGUAGUAAUAGUUAAGUUCUUUAAAUUUAAAGAUUUUGGCGGUAUUUUAGUCUAUUCAGAGGAACCUGUUCUGUAAUUGAUAGUCCACGAUUAACUUAACUUAAUUUAAAAAUUUGUAUAUCGUCGUUUUUAAUGAUUUUAUUAGAAUUUAAAUUUUUAAGAUUUUUUAUUAAAAAAUAUAUCAGAUCAAGGUGCAGUUUAUAAUUAAGUAGAAAUGGGUUACAAUAAAUUUAUUUAUACGGAUAAAUAUAUAAAAAUUAUUAUUUUGAAGGAGGAUUUGAUAGUAAUAAAAUUUAUUUAAAUUUUAUGAUUUUAGCUCUAAAAUAUGU